UACCGGAUAAGAAAGCAGAUCGCAUGAUCAGUACUUUUAAAAAAGGCGGCGUAAGCUGUCGCUAGUGGGAUCGGCCCCGCGGUGCAUUAGCUAGUUGGUAAGGUAAAGGCUUACCAAGGCGAUGAUGCAUAGCCCGAGUUGAGAGACUGAUCGGGCCACAUUGGGGACUGAGACACGGGGCCCAAAACCCUACGGGGGGAGGGGCAGCAGUAGGGGGAAUCUUCCACAAUGGACGCAAGUCUGAUGGAGCAACGCCGCGUGAGUGAAGAAGGUUUUCGGAUCGUAAAGCUCUGUUGUUGGUGAAGAAGGAUAGAGGUAGUAACUGGUCCUUUAUUUGACGGUAAUCAACCAGAAAGUCACGGCUAACUACGUGCCAGCAGCCGCGGUAAU
RNAcentral lists this ribosomal RNA (390 nucleotides) under uncultured Lactobacillus sp. RNAcentral describes it as "bacterial SSU rRNA". It matches the Rfam family "Bacterial small subunit ribosomal RNA", at positions 167 to 524 of the family's 1533-position model. The record is from RNAcentral. Lineage: Bacteria; Bacillati; Bacillota; Bacilli; Lactobacillales; Lactobacillaceae.